Transfer RNA from Homo sapiens (human), 71 nucleotides. It matches the Rfam family "tRNA". Rfam says of the family: Transfer RNA (tRNA) molecules are approximately 80 nucleotides in length. Their secondary structure includes four short double-helical elements and three loops (D, anti-codon, and T loops). Further hydrogen bonds mediate the characteristic L-shaped molecular structure. tRNAs have two regions of fundamental functional importance: the anti-codon, which is responsible for specific mRNA codon recognition, and the 3' end, to which the tRNAs corresponding amino acid is attached (by aminoacyl-tRNA synthetases). tRNAs cope with the degeneracy of the genetic code in two manners: having more than one tRNA (with a specific anti-codon) for a particular amino acid; and 'wobble' base-pairing, i.e. permitting non-standard base-pairing at the 3rd anti-codon position. NCBI's taxonomy places the organism in Eukaryota, Metazoa, Chordata, Mammalia, Primates, Hominidae. The record is from Rfam.
GUUAAUGUAGCUUAAUUAUUUAAAGCAAGGCACUGAAAAUGCCUAGAUGGGUCCGCACAACCCGGUAAACA